RNAcentral lists this ribosomal RNA (1020 nucleotides) under Yersinia intermedia ATCC 29909. RNAcentral describes it as "partial 23S ribosomal RNA". The record is from RNAcentral. Lineage: Bacteria; Pseudomonadati; Pseudomonadota; Gammaproteobacteria; Enterobacterales; Yersiniaceae.
GACGAUAAUUUUGCUGAUUGUGGCUCUGGGGCUGUUUAAAGCAGCGUUUGCGCCACUCGGUUUAACCUAUUUAGCGGUGCUGAUUGUGCAGAUAUUGGCACCGGCCGUGAUUAGCGGCUACCGUACUUAACAGUUAUCGUAUUUAACGGUCACCGUAUUUAACUACAAAAAGGGUAAGAGGCAUCAUGUCUGCAUCAGGAGAAAUCUCUACUCCAAGGGACUACAUAGGUCACCACCUGAAUAACCUUCAGUUGGACCUGCGUACCUUUGAGUUGGUCAAUCCCCACUCACCUGGCCCUGCAACGUUCUGGACGUUGAACAUUGACUCUUUGUUCUUCUCUGUCGUGCUGGGGUUAGCUUUUCUGUUUGUGUUCCGCAAAGUUGCGGCAGGUGCCACCAGUGGCGUGCCUGGCAAAUUGCAGACUGCUGUUGAGUUAAUUAUCGGUUUUGUCGAUAACAGCGUGCGGGAUAUGUACCACGGCAAAAGUAAAGUCAUCGCACCAUUAGCCCUGACCGUGUUUGUUUGGGUUUUAUUGAUGAACAUGAUGGACUUACUGCCAAUCGAUUUACUGCCUUACAUCGGUGAACAUGUCUUUGGGUUACCUGCAUUGCGCGUGGUACCUACUGCGGACGUGAGUAUUACCUUGUCCAUGGCAUUGGGUGUCUUCAUCCUGAUUCUGUUCUAUAGCAUCAAAAUGAAAGGUGUAGGCGGCUUCGUAAAAGAACUCACGAUGCAGCCGUUCAAUCACCCGAUAUUUAUUCCAGUUAACUUAAUUCUGGAAGGUGUCAGCCUGCUGUCCAAACCUGUUUCACUCGGUUUGCGACUGUUCGGCAACAUGUAUGCGGGUGAGUUGAUCUUCAUCCUUAUCGCUGGUCUGUUGCCGUGGUGGUCACAGUGGAUGCUCAGUUUACCUUGGGCUAUCUUCCACAUACUGAUUAUCACGUUACAAGCCUUUAUCUUCAUGGUUCUGACGAUUGUCUAUCUGUCGAUGGCGUCUGAAGAGCACUGAUUUUCUUAAU